This 2203-nucleotide long non-coding RNA is filed under the name Capsicum annuum. RNAcentral describes it as "long non-coding RNA (CANN_LNC003912)". Lineage: Eukaryota; Viridiplantae; Streptophyta; Magnoliopsida; Solanales; Solanaceae. The record is from RNAcentral.
AAAUUAAGCAUCCGAACCUAUGAUAUAAGACAUCAUGACGUAAAAAAGAGUAUGCAGUCAGUACAUUGAAUGUACUGGUAUAUGUAUGAGGUUAGUCAAAAAUACAUGGGGUACUGUGCAUAAGAGGUAAUGACUAACUGAAAGCAUAAAAUAACUGAAUAUGAAUGCAUGAAAACAGUGAUGUAUGAGAAUGCAAGAACAAACAUAAAUCUGCAAUCCGAAAUAAGUCUGAAAGCUGAAAGACUGUAAACUAUAUAUCUGAAUAACUAAAAGUCUGUACACUUGGUUGUCACACUCCUAUUUUUUACCGCAUCCGACCCCGCUAUGAAACUGGUUUUAGAGAAAAAUAAAUUUUUUCAAAUAAAGUGACGUUUUAAAUAGGGAUUAAUUUAUUUACAGAGUCGUCACUUAGAAUUAAGUUUGGGAGUUCCAAGUCACCUUAUUGAAUCCCCAAUAAAAAGAAAAUGACUCUUUGUUUUAUUAAUCUGCGAACUAGAAAUCCAGAUAAGGAAUUCUGUUGACCGAGGGGAAGGUGUGAGGCACCCCUCGAGUUCCGUGGUUCUAGCACGUUCGCUUUAAUGACUUACGUCUGGCUUAAAUUAAUCUUUUAGAUAUAUAAAAUAUUUUUUAGCCUAAAAGUUACUUACAUCUUGCUUUUAAUUUAUUUUAAAUUAUUUGAUAUAUUAUCAUGUUAUAUUAAUGUGUGGCUCGCAGGUAGCAGUACUUUCCUGCCUCACCACAAGUUUUGAUAUAUUUCUUACGCCUUUGAGGCAUUUAUGGAUCGCUCCCAUUUUUCAAGUCUAGAUAAACACCUAACAGGUUUAGAAUCUACUCAACCUAGUUCAAACGACUUCAAAUGGUAUGUUGAUUUUUUAUUACAACGAAUAGUCGGUAGCAGGGCUUUCCAACUUCAUCGUUAAUUUUCCCUUGUAUAUUAAAUCUUAAUUAUUUAGAGGAUAAGAACCUAACUUAUUAUUUUACAAGUUCACUCCCUUACAAUUUACAAUAGAUUUUUUUUUUCUCUUUCUUUUUAAUUAUGACUAUAUAUAUAUACUCUUGCACACAAAUUAUUGAUACAUAAACUUAAACAAACAUUACUUGAAAACCACAUUAAUAUAAUUCGCAACACAGCUAAUUAAUAGAGUCACAUUUACUGAAACUACCAUUACAAAGUUAACCCAAAAAUUAAAAGAUCACAUAUUGCAUUUAACCAAUUUAUUACAACGAAAUUAACAUAUAGAAAAUAAAAUUUUGUAAUCACACCAUUUCUUUUAAAUGAAUGAAACAACUAUUUAUUAUUUUUCUUUUACUACUUUUGAAACAACUAUAACUUUUUAAAACUUGUUUAUCAUUUACAUAUAUAAUACAUGGGCCUAUUAUUGCUACCACUAUUUAUGACCACAGACUACAGAGAAUAUAAAAUACCACAAAUUAAAGGCAACAUUACUCAUGUAUUGUGUCGGCUUGAUGAUUUGGGAAUCUCUUAAUUUACAGUAGGUUUAGAUAUCAAGGUCAUGCAUGCAUGGGUCACGUAUUAGCUAGGAUAUAUCAUAAAUACUUUCUACGUAACCUUUUCAAUCUUUCAACGUUAUUAACUUUAAUAACUAUCUCAUUUAAAAUUUAAAACUAGUUUAAUUAACAUUAUUUCGAAAAAAUAACACAUGAGUUAUGAAUAAAGACGUAGACAUGAACUACAUAUAAAUAAUAAACUACACAUAAUAAAUAACAUAACAAGCCAUGAGAAUAACUUUAUUCAUUCUUUAAUCAACAACAAAAUAUAUAAAAUGGUAUAAAUGGAUAAGAACCUGGAAGAUGAACUGAUUAAAAAAAAUACGAACGACGUCCGAAAACUCUAACGGAAACCCUCACGAAUUCGAUCCGCUACUUCUUUUCCUCUCUUUUUCCUUUAAAUCUUUCCUCUCUUUAUGCGUUUUCCUCUCUAUUUUUCUUCUGGUUUCUUUCUUUUUUUCAGUGUUUCUGCCUUUUGUUUAGUUUUCUUCUUGGUUUUUGCUUUGUUUUUUUCUUGUUUUUCUUUUGUGUUGUCUUCUCUAAUUGUCUUAUUUUUUCUUCCUCUCCCUUUUUCUUUUUGUGCAGACGUCCUUCUUUGUUUCCCUAAUCCUCCCUCUCCUCUUUUUCCUUCUUCCUCUCUUCCCCUCUCUGUCUGUUUUCUUUUUUGGUUCUCUUUGUCCGUCCACCUCUUGUG